UUGUCCUCUGUGGUUUCACUCUUACAGUAAUUUAAAUGCCCAGCAACUUCCAUCUGCAUGACAAGCCACCCUUUCUUCAGCCCUUAAUCCCUCUCCUCCUGCUCUGAAAAUUUCUUUCCACAGCUCCCCAGGGUCUCAAGGCCCGACUCAGGAUGAGAAAGCAAAAAUGGAGGUAAACUCACUCUCCAGAGCAGAGGACAGAGGAGCAGCUGAGAGGCCAAGUCCACCCCUGGCAUGAUCUCCAUCCACCAUCUCUGCUCCCCUUGCGUCCCUGGGUGAGAGGCCUUCUCUCCUCUCAUCUGGUCAGCUCACAGUCUCAGACCCAGAAGCAAGCCCUAUCGCCUACCCUCCUCAGUGUCCCAUCAGUCUGGCUCUGUAGCCUAGAGAGACCUGAACUUUCGAUUCUCCGGCCUGGUCUCCCAAGUGUCACUGGGCAGCUGGAGUAGAAGAUCAUCUCCCUGCAAGAUGACAGGUUGGUGUGGGCCAUCACACUGCAGGAAGUUUGUUGGCCUUUUGAACUCUGCAGGGCAAGACCAAACACCUCCUCCUCCUGAGUGCCAAGUAAUCUGGAUCUGGAAUCCCCAUCCCUAGUGCGGUUUAGCAGGCUACAGUCAUGGAGCUUAUAGAUCUGUGUGGGGACCUAAAGGCCCCACCUUGCAGAGGUCCGAGAGGAAGUUGCUGGGGCGUGGCCUGAAUUGUUUGAAAAGUCUGAAGGAUACUUACACUGCUGAGGACUGCAUGAUCAGCGUGUGACCAUCCUUAAGAUACAU
Nannospalax galili (Upper Galilee mountains blind mole rat) is the source of this 770-nucleotide long non-coding RNA. RefSeq lists it as uncharacterized. NCBI's taxonomy places the organism in Eukaryota, Metazoa, Chordata, Mammalia, Rodentia, Spalacidae. The record is from RefSeq and is a predicted model, not a curated record. The transcript is spliced from 6 exons.